UCCGAUGGGGGCUCUCGUUGUUCGGAAUUACUGGGCGUAAAGCGCACGUAGGCGGAUUAGUAAGUCAGGGGUGAAAUCCCGGGGCUCAACCUCGGAACUGCCUUUGAUACUGCUGAUCUCGAGUCCGGAAGAGGUGAGUGGAAUUCCUAGUGUAGAGGUGAAAUUCGUAGAUAUUAGGAAGAACACCAGUGGCGAAGGCGGCUCACUGGUCCGGUACUGACGCUGAGGUGCGAAAGCGUGGGGAGCAAACAGG
Molecule: ribosomal RNA, 253 nt
Filed under: uncultured bacterium
Lineage: Bacteria
Description: partial 16S ribosomal RNA
Rfam family: Bacterial small subunit ribosomal RNA
Source: RNAcentral